Long non-coding RNA from Lycium ferocissimum, 732 nucleotides. RefSeq lists it as uncharacterized. The transcript is spliced from 3 exons. NCBI's taxonomy places the organism in Eukaryota, Viridiplantae, Streptophyta, Magnoliopsida, Solanales, Solanaceae. The record is from RefSeq and is a predicted model, not a curated record.
AUAAGAUCAUGUCCAUUAUUUAGGCAUCAUUUGAUACCAAAGAGUUAAAACAAAAAAAAAAUGUCCAAUUGCUAAUACCUUCUCCCAGAUUCAGGGAUAGACAAAAAGAAGAUGACCUUCAUAUUUCCUGACCACAUCCACUUCCACACUUUCCAUUCUUGCAACUGCCAUCUGAAUUGAGCUUGACAAAACCAGUAGAUGGCUUCAUCCAUUUUACCAGAACAAUCCUUAUAGCAUUUAGAUUACUUCCCAUAAGUUGUACAAUGUUGUCCCAAGUUGGCCUAACCUGAACUCUGAAUGUUGGGUCCAUGUGGCCCAUGGUUCUUAUGCCCGUCAUGUUAGCUCACCAUUUCCAUCACUCCCUGCUUUUGUAGCUACAAUCUUAGGCAUGCCAUCUACUUUGUAAUACGUCCUCCGCUACCCUAUCUCUGUCUCUCUGUACGCAAUAAAGAUUAUGGAGAAACACAACCAUUUUCUAUCUGAUGUGCCCUUUGUAGUUCGUAACCACACACUGCUACUACUAGCUUGUCUAUAUGAUUUUUAUUUUCUAGUUAAUUGUAGCUUCCGUAUAAACUUGGUACACUUGUCUCUGUUUUAGCCACAAACAUCCAUUUUUGCAGUUGAUUUUAGUGUUUUAUCUAUGGUUUUAGUCAGUCUCUAAAUCCAUUUCUUCUUGGUAGUGGCUGCCCAACCUGAUUGGAUCCUUUCUGUCCGAUUUGUGGCUCGUAACAA